This 1093-nucleotide long non-coding RNA is filed under the name Takifugu rubripes (torafugu). RNAcentral describes it as "lncRNA (ENSTRUG00000029450.1)". The record is from RNAcentral. Lineage: Eukaryota; Metazoa; Chordata; Actinopteri; Tetraodontiformes; Tetraodontidae.
ACAUACAUAAAGAUAAAUAUAAAUGUGUGUGAUAAAUCCGCAUUAUGAUUAGUUGAUAUUUGGCGUGUUAAAAAUGUUUUUGUGCAAAUACACAGAUUGAUUGUAAUCUGGUCAGAUUUGCCAGCGCUUUAAUAUAUGCAAAUAUGUGGACCAAUAACUAUUUGUAUUGUGUUGUAUUGUGUGUGUUUAUUUUGAAGAGCAGGAGGCUUCCCGGAAGUGCUCCACGGUGUCUCUAUGGAAACGCCCAUUUGUAGUCCACACCCUCCCCGGCAGCUGGAGCGGUUCCUCCCUCUCCAGCAGCUUAAUUUCCAGCCUGGAUACACCGGUUCACCGCCGCAGUGCCACUGCAACAGAUGCCUGAAAGGAAGCUCAGCAGCUGAGGACCCCCCCCUUCCCCCUGCCUGUGCUCAUCACCUGCAGACAUGAACGGUAACAGCGGCUCAUCCUAAAUCUGCUGGUGUGCACGAAUGGUGUAGAAGGACACCGGUUUGCAGCGGUGGUCCCCGUGGGGGCCUCCGUCCCCCGUCUGAUAUCGACCCGAUUACACACAGAGAGGAGCCCGACUCCCCAGGAGUGAUGGAAAUACGGGAAAUCUGCGAAGAGGUUCCCUGCCGACAGAUUCUGUGGUGGUUUGGGUGGCGACAACAGGCUGAUCAGAAGCUCUGGGUGUGUUCAUAAAGUGCUCAGGCAUUGUUGGUGCAUGACGCUUUAGCUUACAAACACACUCCUGCAGACAGAUCUUUUGUAUUUAGGUGCUGAGCUGCUGUGUUGGACCAGUCUGAACUGGUUUUCUGUAGACUAAGGCGGAGGCUAAAGCGAAGAGCUUGUCAUCAUCCUCUAACUCUGUGAAUGCUACCUAAUGGCCUGUUGAUGUGUCCCCACUAGCCACAUAUCCCAGUGGUACUGUGCUACAUAUUAUAACAUUCCCUCCCCCCUUUUGCCCCAAAAUAACUUCCUAAGCAGGUCCCCGCUCAGAGCCAGUGACACAUCGCUAAGACCACUCGCAUCUCUGAGCGAGAUUAAUUAUCGUCUCCUUUUUUCAUGGCUGUAAUCUGCUGACGACCCCAGAAUCUAGGCCUGGUUCUGCAGGACG